Molecule: non-coding RNA, 156 nt
Filed under: Ditylum brightwellii
Lineage: Eukaryota; Bacillariophyta; Thalassiosirophyceae; Lithodesmiales; Lithodesmiaceae
Source: RNAcentral
AAUCUGGAACUUAUCUUCAACACCGUCAUUUUAUUGUUCGUUAAUGACCUAGACGAAAAGAUGUAUUCAUGCUUGGAAACAAUCAGGCCCAAAUGGAUGAAAAUGACUUGUGACAACAUAAAAACUACCUUCAGCAAUAACAGUGAUUCUGGAGAG